AGAGUUUGAUCAUGGCUCAGAUUGAACGCUGGCGGCGUGCCUAACACAUGCAAGUCGAGCGGUAACAGGUGUAGCAAUACAUGCUGACGAGCGGCGAACGGGUGAGUAAUGCUUUGGAAUCUUCCCAGUAGUGGGGAAUAACCAGUCGAAAGAUUGGCUAAUACCGCAUACGUCUGUAAAGGGAAAGCGGGCGCUCGUAAGACCUCGCGCUAUUGGAUGAGCCAAAGUCGGAUUAGCUAGUUGGUGGGGUAAUGGCCUACCAAGGCGACAAUCCGUAGCUGGUCUGAGAGGACGACCAGCCACACCGGAACUGAGACACGGUCCGGACUCCUACGGGAGGCAGCAGUGGGGAAUAUUGGACAAUGGGGGAAACCCUGAUCCAGCGACGCCGCGUGUGUGAAGAAGGCCUGCGGGUUGUAAAGCACUUUUAGUGGGGACAAAAAGCUACGGAUUAAUACUCUGUGGUCUUGAUUUAACCCAAAGAAAAAGCACCGGCUAACUCUGUGCCAGCAGCCGCGGUAAUACAGAGGGUGCGAGCGUUAAUCGGAAUUACUGGGCGUAAAGCGCGCGUAGACGGUUUUGUAAGUCAGAUGUGAAAUCCCUGGGCUCAACCUGGGAACUGCAUUUGAAACUGCAUGGCUAGAGUAUCGAAGAGGGAAGUGGAAUUUCCGGUGUAGCGGUGAAAUGCGUAGAUAUCGGAAGGAACACCAGUGGCGAAAGCGACUUCCUGGUCGAAUACUGACGUUCAUGUGCGAAAGCGUGGGGAGCAAACAGGAUUAGAUACCCCCGUAGUCC
This 795-nucleotide ribosomal RNA is filed under the name uncultured bacterium. Its description in RNAcentral is "bacterial SSU rRNA". It matches the Rfam family "Bacterial small subunit ribosomal RNA", at positions 8 to 796 of the family's 1533-position model. The record is from RNAcentral.